This 504-nucleotide ribosomal RNA is filed under the name uncultured bacterium. RNAcentral describes it as "bacterial SSU rRNA". It matches the Rfam family "Bacterial small subunit ribosomal RNA", at positions 791 to 1299 of the family's 1533-position model. The record is from RNAcentral.
UAGUCCACGCCGUAAACGAUGAUCACUCGAUGUGUGCAAUACACAGUAGGCGGCUAAGCGAAAGCAUUAAGUGAACCACCUGGGGAGUACGAUCGCAAGGUUGAAACUCAAAGGAAUUGACGGGGGCCCGCACAAGCGGAGGAACAUGUGGUUUAAUUCGAUGAUACGCGAGGAACCUUACCUGGGCUUAAAUGUAGAUUGCAUAAUUUAGAAAUAGAUUUUCCCUUCGGGGCUAUUUACAAGGUGCUGCAUGGUUGUCGUCAGCUCGUGCCGUGAGGUGUCGGGUUAAGUCCCAUAACGAGCGCAACCCCUAUUUCUAGUUACCAGCGAGUAAUGUCGGGAACUCUAGAAAGACUGCCUGUGUAAACAGUGAGGAAGGUGGGGAUGAUGUCAAAUCAUCACGGCCCUUAUGUCCUGGGCUACACACGUGCUACAAUGGUCACUACAGUGGGCUGCCAUCUGGUGACAGAGAGCAAAUCCAUAAAGGUGAUCCCAGUUCGGAUC